This 654-nucleotide ribosomal RNA is filed under the name Galerina stylifera. RNAcentral describes it as "eukaryotic LSU rRNA". The stretch from base 298 to 451 matches the Rfam family "5.8S ribosomal RNA". Lineage: Eukaryota; Fungi; Basidiomycota; Agaricomycetes; Agaricales; Galerinaceae. The record is from RNAcentral.
CAAGGUUUCCGUAGGUGAACCUGCGGAAGGAUCAUUAUUGAAUAAUCUUGGCGUGGUUGUAGCUGACUCCUUUACCGGAGUAUGUGCACGCUCGUCAUCUUUAUAUCUCCACCUGUGCACCUUUUGUAGACCUGGACAAACUAAAAUGAAUACUUUUCAGAGGCAACUCUGACGGGAGGACUGCUGCGCGUCACUGCCAGCUUUCCUUGCAUUCAUUUGUCUAUGCCUAUGUUUUUUAUAUACCCCAAAGAAUGUAAUAGAAUGUAUCACUAGGCCUUGUGCCUAUAAACUAUAUACAACUUUCAGCAACGGAUCUCUUGGCUCUCGCAUCGAUGAAGAACGCAGCGAAAUGCGAUAAGUAAUGUGAAUUGCAGAAUUCAGUGAAUCAUCGAAUCUUUGAACGCACCUUGCGCUCCUUGGUAUUCCGAGGAGCAUGCCUGUUUGAGUGUCAUUAAAUUCUCAACCUUACCAACUUUGUUGUCUGGUAAAGGCUUGGAUGUGGGGGUUUUGCUGGCUUCGUCAAGAGGUCGGCUCUCCUUAAAUGUAUUAGCUGGUGCCCCGUGUGGAGCGUCCAUUGGUGUGAUAAUUAUCUACGCCGUCGGAUGUCUGCUUUAAAGGGUGUGCGCUGCUUCUAACCGUCUAUUAAGUGGACAA